RNAcentral lists this transfer RNA (76 nucleotides) under Omnitrophica WOR_2 bacterium RIFCSPHIGHO2_02_FULL_50_17. RNAcentral's name for it is "tRNA-Thr". It matches the Rfam family "tRNA". Rfam says of the family: Transfer RNA (tRNA) molecules are approximately 80 nucleotides in length. The record is from RNAcentral. Lineage: Bacteria; Pseudomonadati; Candidatus Omnitrophota.
GCCGAUGUAGCUCAGUUGGUAGAGCAGCUGAUUUGUAAUCAGCGGGUCGGGGGUUCGAUUCCUCUCAUCGGCUUCA